Molecule: ribosomal RNA, 497 nt
Filed under: uncultured bacterium
Lineage: Bacteria
Description: partial 16S ribosomal RNA
Rfam family: Bacterial small subunit ribosomal RNA
Source: RNAcentral
GAUGAACGCUGGCGGCGUGCCUAAUACAUGCCAGUCGAGCGAACAGAUAAGGAGCUUGCUCCUUUGACGUUAGCGGCGGACGGGUGAGUAACACGUGGGUAACCUACCUAUAAGACUGGGAUAACUUCGGGAAACCGGAGCUAAUACCGGAUAACAUUUGGAACCGCAUGGUUCUAAAGUGAAAGAUGGUUUUGCUAUCACUUAUAGAUGGACCCGCGCCGUAUUAGCUAGUUGGUAAGGUAACGGCUUACCAAGGCAACGAUACGUAGCCGACCUGAGAGGGUGAUCGGCCACACUGGAACUGAGACACGGUCCAGACUCCUACGGGAGGCAGCAGUAGGGAAUCUUCCGCAAUGGGCGAAAGCCUGACGGAGCAACGCCGCGUGAGUGAUGAAGGGUUUCGGCUCGUAAAACUCUGUUAUUAGGGAAGAACAAAUGUGUAAGUAACUGUGCACGUCUUGACGGUACCUAAUCAGAAAGCCACGGCUAACUACGUG